GAUGAACGCUGGCGGCGUGCCUAAUACAUGCAAGUCGAGCGAACAGACGAGGAGCUUGCUCCUCUGACGUUAGCGGCGGACGGGUAAGUAACACGUGGAUAACCUACCUAUAAGACUGGGAUAACUUCGGGAAACCGGAGCUAAUACCGGAUAAUAUAUUGAACCGCAUGGUUCAAUAGUGAAAGACGGUUUUGCUGUCACUUAUAGAUGGAUCCGCGCCGCAUUAGCUAGUUGGUAAGGUAACGGCUUACCAAGGCAACGAUGCGUAGCCGACCUGAGAGGGUGAUCGGCCACACUGGAACUGAGACACGGUCCAGACUCCUACGGGAGGCAGCAGUAGGGAAUCUUCCGCAAUGGGCGAAAGCUUGACGGAGCAACGCCGCGUGAGUGAUGAAGGUCUUCGGAUCGUAAAACUCUGUUAUUAGGGAAGAACAAAUGUGUAAGUAACUAUGCACGUCUUGACGGUACCUAAUCAGAAAGCCACGGCUAACUACGUG
Molecule: ribosomal RNA, 497 nt
Filed under: uncultured bacterium
Lineage: Bacteria
Description: partial 16S ribosomal RNA
Rfam family: Bacterial small subunit ribosomal RNA
Source: RNAcentral